UGCAGGGGUAAAAUGAUAAUUUUAAAACUUUUUCAAAAUCACUAUUUUACAGUGAAAAUUAUUAAUUAAUCUAAUUAAUUAAUAAAAAUUUAUCCUACACUAGGAUCUAAAUAUGAUAUAUAGCAUGCAUGCAUUUAAAUUUGAAAUUCGAAUUUGAACAGUAAACACUUUACUGUAAUGUGUUCAGAACACAAUACCUUUAUGCGGGUAGUAGAUCGCC
This 220-nucleotide long non-coding RNA is filed under the name Elaeis guineensis (African oil palm). RNAcentral's name for it is "long non-coding RNA (EGUI_LNC058148)". The record is from RNAcentral. Lineage: Eukaryota; Viridiplantae; Streptophyta; Magnoliopsida; Arecales; Arecaceae.